RNAcentral lists this ribosomal RNA (193 nucleotides) under Cantherhines pullus (orangespotted filefish). RNAcentral's name for it is "partial large subunit ribosomal RNA". The record is from RNAcentral. Lineage: Eukaryota; Metazoa; Chordata; Actinopteri; Tetraodontiformes; Monacanthidae.
AUAAAGACCUGUAUGAAUGGCACGACGAGGGCUUAACUGUCUCCUUUCUCAAGUUAAUGAAAUUGACCUCCCCGUGCAGAGGCGGGGAUAUGAACAUAAGACGAGAAGACCCUAUGGAGCUUUAGGCACUAAAACUGAUCAUGUAAAAACCUCUAAUAAAAGAAUAUAACUUUAUGAAGCCAGUUUAACUGCC